UACGUAUGGUGCAAGCGUUAUCCGGAUUUACUGGGUGUAAAGGGAGCGCAGGCGGCACGGCAAGCCUGAUGUGAAAGCCCGCGGCCCAACCGCGGGACUGCAUUGGGAACUACCGGGCUGGAGUGCCGGAGAGGUAGGCGGAAUUCCUAGUGUAGCGGUGAAAUGCGUAGAUAUUAGGAGGAACACCAGUGGCGAAGGCGGCCUACUGGACGGUGACUGACGCCGAGGCUCGAAAGCGUGGGGAGCAAACAGG
RNAcentral lists this ribosomal RNA (253 nucleotides) under uncultured bacterium. RNAcentral's name for it is "partial 16S ribosomal RNA". It matches the Rfam family "Bacterial small subunit ribosomal RNA", at positions 524 to 776 of the family's 1533-position model. The record is from RNAcentral.